GACGUAGGGAGCAAGCGUUGCUCGGAAUCACUGGGCAUAAAGCGCACGUAGGCGGUUCGGCAAGUCGGAUGUGAAAUCCCCUGGCUCAACCAGGGAACUGCACCCGAUACUACCGGACUUGAGGGCGGAAGGGGAGAGUGGAACUCGUGGUGGAGCGGUGAAAUGCGUAGAUAUCACGAGGAACGCCGGUGGCGAAAGCGACUCUCUGGUCCGUUCCUGACGCUGAGGUGCGAAAGCCAGGGUAGCGAACGGG
RNAcentral lists this ribosomal RNA (253 nucleotides) under uncultured bacterium. Its description in RNAcentral is "partial 16S ribosomal RNA". It matches the Rfam family "Bacterial small subunit ribosomal RNA", at positions 524 to 776 of the family's 1533-position model. The record is from RNAcentral.